GGAAUCAUACUCCCCGCAGAAUGAAGUCAGAGAUGAAGUUAGGGUACGAACGCAGAGAGUAGGUUAUGUAAAGUGAGAAACUUCAGAGAACGGAAGUCAUUUUCGUUUUUAGUUGAUCCUUUCUGGCUGUUUGGCUGAUAGCUGCUCUUGGGGACAAGGCUGCUUCCUGCUCUUCCUUUGCUUGCCUGCCUACCCAUCUCCUCUAUUAAUGGAAGAAAAAUCUCUCUCCCUAAGUUUCAUUGUCUCUGCUAACUAAACAACCUGGGUUUUCUUCCUUCCAACUUCCUCUAUCAGAAAAAAUCAGGUGAAAGUACUGUUCUUGACUGACAGCUGAAAUUGUAGAUGGAGUUAUGCCAGCCAUGAGUUUCAAAAUGUGUAUACGAAUUGAAAAAGGAAGGAGGAUAUAAAGAAUUCUAAGAAAACUAAAAUCGGACCUUACAUAGAAAUGACUUGGUGCUUAGGUAACCUGAAAUUUGCACCUACUUCACCUGAAGAUGAUGAGGAUGAAGAUGAUCCACUUCCACUGAAUAAAUAGUAAAUACAGGAGCUGAGUGUGGUGGCACAUGCCUGUAGUCCCAGCUACUCAGGAGGCAGAGAUAGAAGGAUUGCUUGAGGCCAGAAGUUCGAGUCCAGCCUGAGUAAGAUAGUAAGAACUUUCUCUCUUAAAAAAAAAAGUAUUUAAAGUAUAUUUUUUAUUCUUUAUAAUUCUCUUAAUGUUUUCUCUAGCUUACUUUAUUGUAGAAAUACAGCAUAUAAUAUAUAUGACAUGCAAAAUAUGUGUUAAUUGACUGUAUUAUCAGCAAGGCUUCCUGUCAACAAUUGGAUAAUAGUUAAGCUUUUGAGAAGUCAAAAGUUAAACACAGAUUUUUGAUUGUGUGUGUGCGGGAUUGGCAUCCCUAAUCCUCACAUCGUUCAAGCAUCAAACAAUAUUUUAAAUCAUUUCUAGAGUACUUA
This 954-nucleotide long non-coding RNA is filed under the name Callithrix jacchus (white-tufted-ear marmoset). Its description in RNAcentral is "lncRNA (ENSCJAG00000086731.1)". Lineage: Eukaryota; Metazoa; Chordata; Mammalia; Primates; Cebidae. The record is from RNAcentral.